This 467-nucleotide ribosomal RNA is filed under the name uncultured bacterium. Its description in RNAcentral is "partial 16S ribosomal RNA". It matches the Rfam family "Bacterial small subunit ribosomal RNA", at positions 28 to 507 of the family's 1533-position model. The record is from RNAcentral.
GACGAACGCUGGCGGCGUGCUUAACACAUGCAAGUCGAACGGAAAGGCCUUGCUUUUGUGGGGUGCUCGAGUGGCGAACGGGUGAGUAACACGUGAGUAACCUGCCCUUGACUUUGGGAUAACUUCAGGAAACUGGGGCUAUACCGGAUAGGAGCUCCUGCUGCAUGGUGGGGGUUGGAAAGUUUCGGCGGUUGGGGAUGGACUCGCGGCUUAUCAGCUUGUUGGUGGGGUAGUGGCUUACCAAGGCUUUGACGGGUAGCCGGCCUGAGAGGGUGACCGGCCACAUUGGGACUGAGAUACGGCCCAGACUCCUACGGGAGGCAGCAGUGGGGAAUAUUGCACAAUGGGCGGAAGCCUGAUGCAGCAACGCCGCGUGCGGGAUGACGGCCUUCGGGUUGUAAACCGCUUUCGCCUGUGACGAAGCGUGAGUGACGGUAAUGGGUAAAGAAGCACCGGCUAACUACGUG